GACGAACGCUGGCGGCGUGCUUAACACAUGCAAGUCGAACGAUGAAGCCCAGCUUGCUGGGUGGAUUUGUGGCGAACGGGUGAGUAACACGUGGGCAACCUGCCCCAAACUCUGGGAUAACUCCUCGAAAGAGGUGCUAAUACCGGAUACGAACUAGACAGACAUCUGUACUAGUUGGAAAGUUUUUCGGUUUGGGAUGGGCCCGCGGGCUAUCAGCUUGGUGAGGAGGUAACGGCUCACCAAGGCUACGACGGGUAACCGGCCUGAGAGGGCGACCGGUCACACUGGGACUGAGACACGGCCCAGACUCCUACGGGAGGCAGCAGUGGGGAAUAUUGCGCAAUGGGCGAAAGCCUGACGCAGCGACGCCGCGUGAGGGAUGAAGGUCUUCGGAUCGUAAACCUCUUUCAGUAGGGACGAAGCGAAAGUGACGGUACCUAAAGAAGAAGCACCGGCUAACUACGUGCCAGCCGCCGCAGUAA
RNAcentral lists this ribosomal RNA (482 nucleotides) under uncultured bacterium. Its description in RNAcentral is "partial 16S ribosomal RNA". It matches the Rfam family "Bacterial small subunit ribosomal RNA", at positions 28 to 523 of the family's 1533-position model. The record is from RNAcentral.